This 469-nucleotide ribosomal RNA is filed under the name uncultured bacterium. Its description in RNAcentral is "partial 16S ribosomal RNA". It matches the Rfam family "Bacterial small subunit ribosomal RNA", at positions 28 to 507 of the family's 1533-position model. The record is from RNAcentral.
GACGAACGCUGGCGGCGUGCUUAACACAUGCAAGUCGAACGGAAAGGCCCUGCUUGCAGGGUGCUCGAGUGGCGAAUGGGUGAGUAACACGUGGGUGAUCUGCCCCUUACUUUGGGAUAAGCCUGGGAAACUGGGUCUAAUACUGGAUAGGACCAUGCUGUAGGUGGUGUGGUGGAAAGAUUAGUUUCGGUAAGGGAUGAGCUCGCGGCCUAUCAGCUUGUUGGUGGGGUAAUGGCCUACCAAGGCGUCGACGGGUAGCCGGCCUGAGAGGGUGGACGGCCACAUUGGGACUGAGAUACGGCCCAGACUCCUACGGGAGGCAGCAGUGGGGAAUAUUGCACAAUGGGCGCAAGCCUGAUGCAGCGACGCCGCGUGGGGGAUGACGGCCUUCGGGUUGUAAACUCCUUUCAGCCAUGACGAAGCCCUUGUGGUGACGGUAGUGGUAGAAGAAGCACCGGCUAACUACGUG